This 620-nucleotide long non-coding RNA is filed under the name Mytilus galloprovincialis (Mediterranean mussel). Lineage: Eukaryota; Metazoa; Mollusca; Bivalvia; Mytilida; Mytilidae. The record is from RNAcentral.
CUCAAUUUCAUUUGUACAAUAUUAAAAACAGUUUCUAACCAUGCAAUUUAUUCUUUUUUGUUUUCUUGUGAUACAUCAUACAAACCAAGAGGGUAGUAAAGCCCUUUAAUGUCAGGCAUCAAACAGUCAUUUUCGGCUACCAUUAGCAUCAAAUUGGUUAAAAUUUUACCGUGAUUCGUCAAAAUAUCCUUAUCGGGAUUCGUCAGAGGUCUCAAAUAAUUAUUGUUCCCGUCAUUUUUGGAAAAAAAUUAACAUGAUUCCUCAAAAUCAGUUGAUGUUUUUAUCAUCUAAAAGAAAGUGGUCAUUUUAUCGUCAUACUCUAAAAAUUACGGUCAGCAUUAUUUGGCAAGAAUUUUUACCGUUAUUCGUCAUGAAGGUAUCCCCAUUACGACCCUCAACCAAGACUUGUGAAAUCAAACAUGACUGGAACUUGAAUCAUAUCUAGGAUUUCCAGUUUUAAAUUUAUGUAUGAUGAUUCUGUGUACUAACCUACAUGAUAUGUUACUGUAAAAAGAAAACAAAUGAUACAAAACUAACAAUUUAACCUUGUUAUGAUUAAGGUGGUACAUAACACUACAGGGAGAUAACUCUGUAAAAAUUAGUUGAAUUUUUUAAUCACG